Small nuclear RNA from Myodes glareolus (Bank vole), 102 nucleotides. Lineage: Eukaryota; Metazoa; Chordata; Mammalia; Rodentia; Cricetidae. The record is from RefSeq and is a predicted model, not a curated record.
GUACUCACUUUGGCAGCACAUACUAAAGUAGAAAUUGUACAGAGAUUCUCAUGGUCUCUGUACAAGGAUGACAUGCAAAUUUGUGAAAUGUUCCACAGUGAA